UCUGCCUCCAUGUCCGUCCCCCCCCGCCCGCUUUCCCUUUUUAUUGCUUUCCAUUUUGGACUUUCUGUUAUCAACAUCAUAAAUGCAGCCAUUCUGCCCGAAUCCCUGCUGUUAAUUUUGGAUGCUAUCAGUUGUUUUAUUUAGGAUAUUUAUCAUUGUUCUGCUUGUAAGCAGAGAAUUUAAUUUUCUCCACUUUUUAUAUUUGCAGAUUUAAAAAAAUGUACUUUUCAACAAUGACACGUGCCGCCCAAACGGUCUCUCUAUCUCGAUUUCAAUAUUGUUGCUCAACUUAAUUUUAGUUCACUGGAAAAUACGCUGAAUUGCGCGUAUGGUUAUUAUGCGAGCCUCUAAUUCGAUAUGGCAGCUGGUUUGGAAGGAGGCCAACGAGGUCGCCUGAUGGGGAAAGCGGAGGGGCGCUGCAGGCCGCCUCAGGCCACAGUAUCGAGCAUCAAGUGCAGGAGCAACAAGCAGGGAGCAGGAGACGUCAGGCCCAGAGCGACGGGGGAAGCGUUGCAGCCUGGUCAGCCACCGUCCACCCUCUCUCCUACACCCAGAUGCCUUGAUGUUUGCAGAACGUCAGAGGAUUGUGGGACAUGGUCCAUGAUGGUGUGGUUAGCCGUCUCUUGGCAGUCAUUAGGCUGAUGGUUGCUUGUGUGGCCAUUUGCUAGCCGCUGACGAGGUAACAGGGACACACUGGUAUUAUCUCCUUGGUUUCUUCAUGAUGACCUCACACACACUGUUAAACAGAUCAAAGUCAAACUCCUCCCUCAGCUUCAUGUCACCUGAUCUAAACACCAUUACGUUUUUAUUACCAGUUAGUUCUGGAGGACAGUAUGAAGUAGAUUGUUCUGAAUUCGAAGUGCGACCCUAUCUCAUGAAGUGUUCAUGCCAUAUCCUCUGCCAGACUUCACACAGACACAGAAAUACCUGCUUUAACUUUUUUGUUUCUGGUAGGUUUUACAUUCCAUUUAUAAAAAUGUUUUUGUUUUUCUUCUUAACCAUCACAGAGAACAAAAUGAUAUCAAUAUGUAAUAUAAAGGUUUAAAAAGCAUCUGAUUGACGAAACAUGAUUAUCAAAAUAAGCAGAAAAUAAUAACAAUAAUCUGAUUCUUUUCAUGAUGUUUAGAUGUGUAAUUAUCUGCUGCCUGGGCAAUAUAAUUGCGUUGAGCAGCAGGUCCAGGUGAAGACCAGAUGCAGUGUAAUUCACAAUAAUUUUGUGAAAUUUUCAGCAGUAUCUCUGGCCCUAUAAUCAACAAAUUGCCAAGUUAUUUAUCUUAUACGCUUUUUUUUUUUUGCUCGAUUGAAGAAAUUCUCAUUUCAAACGACAGCAUAUUUCUCCUGUGCCUUCUCUGUACACAAUAACUAAUGUGCGAUUCCCAGCAUUCCCGGCGGUCGUGGGCAUCUCACUGGAAGUUGGGCAUUCAAAUUUUGUUGUAUCUACAAUGACAAUAGAGAUAUAUUCUAUUCUAUUCUAAAAUGUAACCACUUAAAAGAAAGAAUAGUAAUGGGAAAUGCAAACAAGCAAGCAAAAGGAGAUAUUGUUCAUGUUGUGUGCUUUAUGCAUUAAUAUUAUUUGCUACUACUAAUUGUACAUAAUAGAAUAAUAAUAAUAAUAAUACAUUUAAUUUAUGAAGUACUUUGCACUAGAACAAAAUCUCAAAGUACUGAUAUAGUUAAAAUAAGAUAAUCAAAUGUUUAUGUUUGGACAGUUACAGGUAAGUAAAAAUCCCUAAAAACUGUUAAAAAAAACUUGCCAAGUUACCACAUACUACCGGCGGAAGAAAAAGAUUAAGUUAGAAUUGACUCCAUGAUGGUGGUCUUGCUACGCGAAGGCCUGACUUGCUGGCGGGGACCACAACAAGGCGGGGCCACAUUUUCCCUUUAUUGACUUUUGCAGGUGUUUGUCUUCAAUGGACCCUGUUCUUACAUAGUGUGGCAAACAAAUCAAUACCCUGCAGCGGGUCCAAAGAGUGGAUGUGACAGGCCUGAUCCUCGUCACGCCGCGGCCCGCCAGAUCACCGGACGGUGAUUUAUACUCCUGCUUCGCUGUUCUACAUGCCCCCGCUUGGGAAAGUCUAGGUUCAUCCGUCUGACCCGCUGAGCGGGUAUUGAUCAGCACUUAUUUAAUGAGUUAGUGAGAUAAUCUGCCAAAUAAAUAUUAGGCACCACUGUAGUCGUAAAUGGGGGGGAUUUUUUGUCGGAAAAAGGUGUCCCUUUAUUUGGCGUGUGAGCAUAGCCUUUAAAUGUCUCUGAAAUAAGGAGUUGGCAGCCCCA
Non-coding RNA from Paramormyrops kingsleyae, 2274 nucleotides. NCBI's taxonomy places the organism in Eukaryota, Metazoa, Chordata, Actinopteri, Osteoglossiformes, Mormyridae. The record is from RefSeq and is a predicted model, not a curated record.